This 253-nucleotide ribosomal RNA is filed under the name uncultured bacterium. RNAcentral's name for it is "partial 16S ribosomal RNA". It matches the Rfam family "Bacterial small subunit ribosomal RNA", at positions 524 to 776 of the family's 1533-position model. The record is from RNAcentral.
GACGGAGGGUGCAAGCGUUGUUCGGAAUUACUGGGCGUAAAGAGCGCGCAGGCGGUCGUUCAAGUCGCGUGUGAAAGCCCCCGGCUCAACUGGGGAGGGUCACGCGAUACUGAUCGACUGGAAGGCAGGAGAGGGUAGUGGAAUUCCCGGUGUAGUGGUGAAAUGCGUAGAUAUCGAGAGGAACACCGGUGGCGAAGGCGGCCUUCUGGACAGUGACUGACGCUGAGACGCGAAAGCGUGGGGAGCAAACAGG